This 449-nucleotide ribosomal RNA is filed under the name uncultured bacterium. RNAcentral's name for it is "bacterial SSU rRNA". It matches the Rfam family "Bacterial small subunit ribosomal RNA", at positions 355 to 825 of the family's 1533-position model. The record is from RNAcentral.
UGGGGAAUAUUGGACAAUGGGCGCAAGCCUGAUCCAGCCAUGCCGCGUGAGUGACGAAGGUCUUCGGAUUGUAAAACUCUUUUUGGCGGGGACGAUAAUGACGGUACCCGCAGAAUAAGCCCCGGCUAACUUCGUGCCAGCAGCCGCGGUAAUACGAAGGGGGCUAGCGUUGUUCGGAAUCACUGGGCGUAAAGCGCACGUAGGCGGAUGUGCCAGUCAGGGGUGAAAUCCCGGAGCCCAACUCCGGAACUGCCUCUGAUACUGCACGUCUUGAGUUCGAGAGAGGUGGGUGGAAUUCCUAGUGUAGAGGUGAAAAUUCGUAGAUAUUAGGAAGAACACCAGUGGCGAAGGCGGCCAACUGGCUCGAUACUGACGCUGAGGUGCGAAAGCGUGGGGAGCAAACAGGAUUAGAUACCCCAGUAGUCCCUGAGCGGGCUGGCAAGGCGCAU